Clarias gariepinus (North African catfish) is the source of this 441-nucleotide long non-coding RNA. RefSeq lists it as uncharacterized. Lineage: Eukaryota; Metazoa; Chordata; Actinopteri; Siluriformes; Clariidae. The transcript is spliced from 3 exons. The record is from RefSeq and is a predicted model, not a curated record.
CUCGAAGCCAUUUCCACAUAUUUGGGCCAUUACAGGAGUUCUUGGGAGGCCAGUGUUACAGACAUAAAGCAGGCUGUCCGAUAAUGGCUCUGAUGUACAGUACUGAGAAAACUUUCUACCUCGAUGGGUCAUCCUUCCUGCUGUUGACCUCUGAAGCUAAUGGAUGUGUUUCCUGUCUUUGCUAACCCAUCAUCCGUCAAAGCUUUCCUGCUGUGAUCCGGGCUCCUGAUUCGGCCCUCCACGUCUCCAACACCCCUCCCUUCCCCAUCCGUCUUCCAGCAAUGGUGUCCUAUUCAUGCUAAUUGAAGAGGCCUGUAAGGAGGGAGUUCCUUUAUGGGGCUGAGUCACAGCUCAGCGCCUUCACUCAAGGGAGGAGGAACAGGAGAGGACCCUCGGGAAUGUAAAAAUGUUUGGCAGGAAUAAUGGGAUGGCAGGAGAAAG